This 1336-nucleotide long non-coding RNA is filed under the name Sparus aurata (gilthead seabream). RNAcentral describes it as "lncRNA (ENSSAUG00010013185.1)". The record is from RNAcentral. Lineage: Eukaryota; Metazoa; Chordata; Actinopteri; Spariformes; Sparidae.
GUGUUGCAAACUGGACCAGAUUCUCAGAGCAUACAGGGCAGACUUUUACAGAAUGUACACUCUGGAUACAUGUAGAGAGUGCAGGGUGACGUUCAAAAACUGCAUACCAGGUAUGAAAAUUGCGCAUGGAAAUGUAAUGAGUACUUCUUUUAAGUUAUUGCUACCUAAAGAUGGCAGUGAAAACUUGUUUGUUUUUAACAAUGCUGAUAGAAGUUGUUGCAAAGACUGUAGUGUGUUGACCAAAUACUGGAAAACUAAUUUAUUGCCAUUCCAUGGGCAUCCAUAAGGCAAUAAUGAUGGUCACAUGCAGUAGUAAAAGAAAAAGAAUAAAUAUGGAUAUAAAUAAUUCAAUAACUAAUAAUUGUAGCCCUUUAAAACUGACACAACUUAACGUUGCAAUUACAAGUAAUAAAACACAAGAGACACAAAAAUAGAACCAUACAGUGAGUAUCUCUACAGGUAGAAUACUGACCAGAGGACUUCUAGACACCAAGGAUUUCUUCAAUGUGAUGAUCCAAAGAAAAUAAAGGGGGGCCCUCUAACAAGGACUGUUUUUAUUUACCGACAGGCUAUGCAGGAAAUGGGAAAAGAGGGGUGCCGCAGGGCAUCUAUUCUGAGAACUCGCACCGUGGCUUCUGCUCUCACUUCUGCCAGCUCUGUGCAGGGUUUUCCCAAUAAAUGACACUCCACGAACCUGGGAUCGGACUGACACCUUGUCGCCUUCUCCAUCACCACCCACCACCUGGGAUGCACCUUACAACAUCCACACACCAUCCCUCAUGCACACCUUACACUACUGAUUCUACUGAUAUCCACACUCCACACCUUGUUCAUGUUGAGUUCAGUUCAUUGCCUUUUGUUAAUAAAUUACAGUUCUUAAACCGUUCAUGGUGUGUCUCCCACAUUUGUCAUAGCCGAAGAGCCAGGUUAUGAUGGCAGCUGCAGAGUUUUGUUCUUACCCUAGGUAUUUUCCCUGCCUAUAUGUAUCUAGAUGAUGAUUUGUCCCAUUCCCAAAACUGUUCAUCUACAGGUAUUGAAUGAAAAAGGCACAACACCCUGUGUUAUUUUUAAAACAUCGUUUUUACCAUGGAUGUUAUAUCCAGGUUCCAAUCAUAUUGAUCAAAGGACACUCAAAAGCUUGGUAUUGUAAUAGCAGUUAUGAGUUCAUUUUUUUUUUUUAUCUUGUUGUCCCUGUUGUACUACAGUAAAAAAUAUUUUCAUGGAUAAGAUACUUUUUAGUAUUCCUCAUGGUUUGCCCUCUCAAGGGCUGAGUGGAAGUUUAUUGCUUUUAUUACCCCCAUGACGUCCACUUGAAGAUGAAAAGGAGUCAUUGUAU